RNAcentral lists this ribosomal RNA (624 nucleotides) under uncultured bacterium. RNAcentral describes it as "bacterial SSU rRNA". It matches the Rfam family "Bacterial small subunit ribosomal RNA", at positions 155 to 777 of the family's 1533-position model. The record is from RNAcentral.
AAGAAAGAUUAAUACCUGAUGGUAUGAUGAGAUUGCAUGAUAGCAUCAUUAAAGAUUUAUCGGUGAUGGAUGGGGAUGCGUCUGAUUAGCUUGUUGGCGGGGUAACGGCCCACCAAGGCAACGAUCAGUAGGGGUUCUGAGAGGAAGGUCCCCCACAUUGGAACUGAGACACGGUCCAAACUCCUACGGGAGGCAGCAGUGAGGAAUAUUGGUCAAUGGACGAGAGUCUGAACCAGCCAAGUAGCGUGCAGGAUGACGGCCCUAUGGGUUGUAAACUGCUUUUAUAAGGGAAUAAAGUGAGUCUCGUGAGAUUUUUUGCAUGUACCUUAUGAAUAAGGACCGGCUAAUUCCGUGCCAGCAGCCGCGGUAAUACGGAAGGUCCGGGCGUUAUCCGGAUUUAUUGGGUUUAAAGGGAGCGUAGGCCGGAGAUUAAGCGUGUUGUGAAAUGUAGAUGCUCAACAUCUGCACUGCAGCGCGAACUGGUUUCCUUGAGUACGCACAAAGUGGGCGGAAUUCGUGGUGUAGCGGUGAAAUGCUUAGAUAUCACGAAGAACUCCGAUUGCGAAGGCAGCCUGCUAAGCUGCAACUGACAUUGAGGCUCGAAAGUGUGGGUAUCAAACAGGA